AGCGUAGACGGACUGGCAAGUCUGAUGUGAAAGGCGGGGGCUCAACCCCUGGACUGCAUUGGAAACUGUUAGUCUUGAGUGCCGGAGAGGUAAGCGGAAUUCCCAGUGUAGCGGUGAAAUGCGUAGAUAUUAGGAGGAACACCAGUGGCGAAGGCGGCUUACUGGACGGUAACUGACGUUGAGGCUCGAAAGCGUGGGGAGCAAACA
Molecule: ribosomal RNA, 207 nt
Filed under: uncultured bacterium
Lineage: Bacteria
Description: partial 16S ribosomal RNA
Rfam family: Bacterial small subunit ribosomal RNA
Source: RNAcentral